UAGGGAAUCUUCCACAAAUGGACGCAGUCUGAUGGAGCAACGCCGCGUGAGUGAAGAAGGGUUUCGGCUCGUAAAGCUCUGUUGUUAAAGAAGAACGUGGGUAAGAGUAACUGUUUACCCAGUGACGGUAUUUAACCAGAAAGCCACGGCUAACUACGUGCCAG
RNAcentral lists this ribosomal RNA (164 nucleotides) under uncultured bacterium. Its description in RNAcentral is "partial 16S rRNA". It matches the Rfam family "Bacterial small subunit ribosomal RNA", at positions 355 to 511 of the family's 1533-position model. The record is from RNAcentral.